UAUGUAAAUAUAUAUCCCCAAAGCCGACCUUGAGAAGGAAAUUCACUGAGCCAUUCCUUACGAGUGUUCCCAGGAGAAACAGGAAAGUGAGAAGUCAAGUCGGUCCAAGAAGAAUAAAGAGGCCAAGCCCAGUUGCAUAUCAGCAAUCUCACAGAGAGAGCUGCCUCAGUCCCUCGAGGCGUCUCUUUCUGCAGCCCAUGCUGGAGUGC
RNAcentral lists this long non-coding RNA (209 nucleotides) under Homo sapiens (human). Its description in RNAcentral is "non-protein coding lnc-POTEB3-2:2". Lineage: Eukaryota; Metazoa; Chordata; Mammalia; Primates; Hominidae. The record is from RNAcentral.